This 314-nucleotide ribosomal RNA is filed under the name Salmonella enterica subsp. enterica serovar Heidelberg. RNAcentral describes it as "partial 23S ribosomal RNA". It matches the Rfam family "Bacterial large subunit ribosomal RNA", at positions 228 to 580 of the family's 2925-position model. The record is from RNAcentral. RNAcentral also lists the same sequence under 1 other name. Lineage: Bacteria; Pseudomonadati; Pseudomonadota; Gammaproteobacteria; Enterobacterales; Enterobacteriaceae.
ACCGAGAUUCCCCCAGUAGCGGCGAGCGAACGGGGAGGAGCCCAGAGCCUGAAUCAGCAUGUGUGUUAGUGGAAGCGUCUGGAAAGGCGCGCGAUACAGGGUGACAGCCCCGUACACAAAAGCGCAUGUGCUGUGAGCUCGAUGAGUAGGGCGGGACACGUGGUAUCCUGUCUGAAUAUGGGGGGACCAUCCUCCAAGGCUAAAUACUCCUGACUGACCGAUAGUGAACCAGUACCGUGAGGGAAAGGCGAAAAGAACCCCGGCGAGGGGAGUGAAAAAGAACCUGAAACCGUGUACGUACAAGCAGUGGGAGC